Long non-coding RNA from Raphanus sativus (radish), 551 nucleotides. RefSeq lists it as uncharacterized. The record is from RefSeq and is a predicted model, not a curated record. The transcript has 2 exons. NCBI's taxonomy places the organism in Eukaryota, Viridiplantae, Streptophyta, Magnoliopsida, Brassicales, Brassicaceae.
AGAUCUCUUUGGUGGUGAGUGAUCUGAUCUUGUAACUUUAGAGUUAGUUGUUAGGUUGUUACUUGGGUAGUUAGGAUUAGUUAAGAUUGGUUAAACCGAUUAACUGUUAUAUCCGGUUUAGCUUAAUUGAUUCUGGUAAGUCUUGUAAACCUUGUUCGUAUAGAAGGGUAUGAGAGAGAGAGAGAGAGAGAGAGAGAGAGAGAGAGAGAGAGAGAGAGAGAGGCUCUGGUGUUCUUCGUCAUCUCUGUUUUGUAGAGAUGCAUUUGUUCUAGUGGAUUUGCUAGACUGAAUCUGGAUUCAGGGAUUAGUUCUCCACAUCAAAGAGAUACAUUGGGUUCUAUUUACUAUGUGUAGCGAGAACGUAACAAGAGGCUACACUACACUAGCAUGCUCAUCAUUUUGUAAACCAGUUGCUACGAGUGAUUAAUAUAACAGUCUGAGGUCUGGUAAUAACGGUAUGAUAUUUUGUAAGGCUGAAGCUGUAAGAACUUUUUGAAGAUGUAAGCUACAAGAUAGAUGUGAUGAGUCCACAUAGAUAGUUAAAAUAAGAA